GAUAGUGUCAAAUUGUGCUACUUUCUUUGAGAAAAGUCACAUGAAUGACCUCAAACUUCAAAGAAAAAAAGUACUCAAGGAACUUUUGGGAAAUACACAAAACCCUACGGUAACGGUUCCAAAACCAAUUCAUAAUGGUAAACCUGCAAACGAGUAGCAACAUAGGGUGCUUUGUCAGUUGAAAGGCCUCUCACAAAACCGAAGUUUUUCCAAUUUUGCAGAAGUGUUUUAAAUACUGAGUCUGCCAAACAGGAGAUGAUGACCCACUCACAUAUGACGAAGUAAAAUGCUAAUAACACCCCUUAACUUGACUCGCUAGUCAAAUUGAGGUAUCAGGAUGCCACAUUAAUCUUCUAACAAAUAGAUAUAUUUUAAAUCAAAUAAAUGACAUACUCACACCAGUAAAACAAAAUUUUGAUUAAUUAAUAUCAUUAAAUAAUUACACUUAUACCUGGAUUAUAAAAUUUCUGUCAAACACUUAUACAAUAUUUUCUAUGAAAAUGAGGUCAAGGUAUCGGUACCUUACCACUGGUAUCAGUACCUUGGCUCAAAGUAUUGAUACCCCUGUUGUCGUACCAAUACCAAAUUUAGCUUCAAAGUUUCAGAAAAAUUGGGUAAAAAAUCAAAGUAUUGAUACUCUUCUCAUGGUAUCGAUAUUCAGCCCUUGGUAUCGAUACCAAAACCAGGUUCGAUGUUUCAAAAAUUUGAGAAAAAUUACUCAAGUAUCGAUACUUUUCCCAUGGUAUCUGUAAUGACCCAAAUGUAACGCCCUAAAAUUUUGAGAAUUUAAUUCUGAGACUCUGCAGUAAUUAAAUCUCUGUAUUUGUCGUUCUGUGUUCCGCUAUUAUGUUUAAGGUCUAGAGUUUGAGUCGCAUCGUUAAAAUUUUUGUUAUUUUAAAAGCAACCCUUAAUCAUGCAUUAUAUAGUUAAGUUCAAUUCAGUGUAAAAUUAAGUCAAGAAUGAGCUUGCUGGUUUAUUGGUUAAGCAUAUAUAUUCAGUUAGGUCCUCUAUCUGAAUCCCAGAGUAUACGAUAGGGAAAUAUUUUUGCUAAACGCUGGAAGGUUGGUUGGUGGUUAACUUAAACCAUUCUAAAAUUAAUUAUAUGGUCCUUUUCUUUUUAUUUUUUUUCUUUUCUUUCUAGUUCUUUGUUCUUCUUCUUUCUUUUAUCUUUUUGCUUGGUUUUAUACUUGAUUCUACAUUAAUUGGGAUUUCUUUCGUUGCUUGUUACAUCGAUUGUGUGAUUAUUGUGUAAGUUCCAUUGUUAUCUCCAUUCGUUUCUGCGAGUUUCGCCUUGUUAAUGUUUAUUCUGUCGAGAUAGAAUUUUGCUCGCUUUACUUGAACGCUCUGUUUAAACACUCGAUUGGUUACUUUUUAGGCAAGAAUAUUACGAGAGACGCUUCUCUGCCGCGUUAGCCUGGUUUCCUCUAUUACGUGCAAGGUAAGUGUGUGAAAUUGAAUUGGGGUUGAGUCGAAACUUUCGACAUAAUUUUGACGAUAGGUUUAUCUUAACAAUAAAUUGAGAAUGAUGGUGUAAUUUAUUAUUGGAUGGUCGUGUUAGGUUCUGGAAUCCUCCUACAUUUGUGACUUAAGACCACACGGGCAAGCACACGGGCAUAUGUCUAGGCCGUGUAACUCACUGUUUAUGACUUAGGACAUACGGGCAAGCACACAGGAUUGUGCCCAGGCCGUGUGAGUCACACAGGCAAGGACACGGGCAUGUGUCUGGGCCGUGUAACUCUCUAUUUACGUUUUAGAACCACACGAGUAGAGGACAUGGGUGUGUGCCUAGGUCGUGUGUGCCACACGGGCAAGGACAUAAGCAUGUGUCCAGGCCGUAUAAGCCACACGGGAAAGGACAUGGGCGUGUGUUCAGGCUGUGUGGCAUAUAAAUAGGGUCUAAAUUCAGUUUUUGAGGCCGCGAGUGUUGCCCGACACUAAUACUGACCUCCCCAAUAUAUGAAUGAUCUGAAUUUGAUUAUACGAAGACUCACUGAUGCUCAGUGACUGACAUAUGAAUAACAUAACUGUAUCUGUACUGUGAUAGUUAUUCUGGUAUUGAAUUGUAUUAUCUAAUUGUGAAAUGAUUUAGAAUGACUAAACACAUAUUGUGGACAUUUCUACUCUGCAUUUGCAUGGGUUGGGAUAUUGUGAAGAAUGAAGUAAUCUACUCUGAAUUAGUGGCCAAGCCAAAAUGCGUAUAAAUCUGGAUCUGGCACUUUAUCGCAUUUCGAUCUAGUAGCUAAGCUGUGUCUCUGUUAACAUGUCAGACAGACACUCUGUGGUGUGUAGGGUUGGUUGCGCACUGAACACCCUUAACGGUGUGCUGGGAUGGCCGAAGGUGGUGUGUAGCGGAUGGGGGUAGGAAUAUUUGCAUCUGAAUCUGAUCUUUUUGUAUAUGAAACUGAAAUUGCUUCUGCAUAUGUAACUAAUUUGUUCUGAAUCUGAACUGAAAUUGCUUUUGUUACCAAACUGAAUCUUAGGAUUUAGGAAUCAUCUUCUAAAUGUGAUCUAAUUGAAUAAAUGUCUUUUGCACACUAAGUUCACAACUCAUUUUGUUAUUUAUUGGAUUUCAGGUGGUUCUCAGACUUGAACGGGUCGACGCCACAGGGAGCUCAGUCAAGC
This 2622-nucleotide long non-coding RNA is filed under the name Gossypium barbadense (sea-island cotton). RNAcentral's name for it is "long non-coding RNA (GBAR_LNC021846)". Lineage: Eukaryota; Viridiplantae; Streptophyta; Magnoliopsida; Malvales; Malvaceae. The record is from RNAcentral.